AAAAGUUUGGACACACCUAUUUUUUCUUUAUUUUUACUAUUUUCUACAUUGUCGAAUAAUAGUGAAGACAUCAAAACUAUGAAAUAACACAUACAGUUGAAGUCGGAAGUUUACAUACACCUUAGCCAAAUACAUUUAAACUCAGUUUUUCACAAUUCCUGACAUUUAAUCCUAGUAAAAAUCCUGUCUUAGGUCAGUUAGGAUCACCACUUUAUUUUAGAAUGUGAAAUGUCAGAAUAAUAGUAGCGAGAAUGAUUUAUUUCAGCUUUUAUUUCUUUCAUCACAUUCCCAGUGGGUCAGAAGCUUACAUACACUCAAUUAGUAUUUGGUAGCAUUGCCUUUAAAUUGUUUAACUUGGGUCAAACGUUUCGGGUAGACUUCCACAAGCUUCUCACAAUAAGUUGGGUGAAUUUUGGCCUAUUCCUCGUGACAGAGCUGGUGUAACUGAGUCAGGUUUGUUGGCCUCCUUGCUCACACACGCUUUUUCAGUUCUGCCCACAAAUUUUCUAUAGGUACGAGGUCUGGGCUUUGUGAUGGCCACUCCAAUACCUUGACUUUGUUGUCCUUAAGCCAUUUUGCCACAACUUUGGAAGUAUGCUUGGGGUCAUUGUCCAUUUCGGAGAUCCAUUUGCGACCAAGCUUUAACUUCCUGACUGAUGUCUUGAGAUGUUGCUUCAAUAUAUCCACAUAAUAUUUCUUCCCCAUGAUGCUAUCUAUUUUGUGAAGUGCACCAGUCCCUCUUGCAGUAAAGCACCCCCACAACAUGAUGUUGCCACCCCCAUGCUUCAAGGUUGGGAUGGUGUUCUUCGGCUUGCAAGCCUCCCCCUUUUUCCUCCAAGCAUAACGAUGGUCAUUAUGGCCAAACAGUUCUAUUUUUGCUUCAUCAGACCAGAGGACAUUUCUCCAAAAAGUACAAUCUUAGUCUCCAUGUACAGUUGCAAACAGUAGUCUGGCUUUUUUAUGGUGGUUUUGGAGCAGCGGCUUCUUCCUUGCUGAGCAGCCUUUCAGGUUAUGUCGAUAUAGGACUCGUUUUACUGUGGAUAUAGAUAUUUUUGUACCUGUUUCCUCCAGCAUCUUCACAAGGUCCUUUGCUGUUUUUCUGGGAUUGAUUUGCACUUUUCCACCAAAGUACGUUCAUCUCUAGGAGACAGAACGCGUCUCCUUCCUGAGUGGUAUGGCGGCUGCGUGGUCCCAUGGUGUUUAUACUUGCGUACUAUUGUUUGAACAGAUGAACGUGGUACCUUCAGGCAUUUGGAAAUUGCUCCCAAGGAUGAACCAGGCUUGUGGAGGUCUACAAUUUUCUUUCUGAGGUCUUGGCUGAUUUUUGGGGAUUUUCCCAUGAUGUCAAGCAAAGAGGCACUGCGUUUGAAGGUAGGACUUGAAAUGCAUCCACAGGUACACCUCCAAUUGACUCAAAUUAUGUCAAUUAGCCAAGAAGCUUCAAAAGCCAUGACAUAAUUUUCUGGAAUUCCAAGCUGUUUAAAGGCACAGUCAACUUAGUGUUUCUAAACUUCUGACCCAUUGGAAUUGUGAUACAGUGAAUUAUAAGUGAAAAAAUCUGUCUGUAAACAAUUGUUGGAAAAAUUACUUAUCAUGCACAAAGUAGAUGUCAUAACCGACGUGCCAAACUAUAGUUUGUUAAGAAGAAAUUUGUGGAGUGGUUGAAAAAUGAGUUUCAAUUACUCCAACCUAAGUGUAUGUAAACUUCCGACUUCAACUGUAUGGAAUCAUGUAGUAACCAAAAAAGUGUUAAACAAAUCAAAAUAUAUUUUAGAUUCUUCAAAGUAGUCCCCCUUUUCCUUCAUGACAGCUUUGCACACUCUUGGCAUUCUCUCAACUAGCUUCACCUGGAAUGCUUUUCCAACCGUCUUGACGGAGUUCCCACAUAUCCUGAGCACUUGUUGGCUGCUUUUCCGUCACUCUGCGGUCCAACUCAUCCCAAACCAUCUCAGUUGGGUUGAGGUCAAAAAUUGGGGAGGCCAGGUCAUCUGAUGCAGCACUCAAUCACUCUCCUUUGUCAAAAUGCACAGAAAUACACUUAACAUCAAAUAUUAGAAGAGAUCAUAGUCUUGGUAAGAUAUGUCUUAGUGAUAAGGUCUUUCACCGUUAUAUUUAGUGUAUGUGUCUCUCAAAAUUUCAGGUUCUCUUAGCAAACAUCCUAAUGGCAAUCAUCGUACUGCUGGGAUCAGGCAUAAUAGCCGGUUACUUCUAUAAGAGGUCAGCUGAAGGACCAGAAGCUCAAGAGGCAGCAGGAACAAGAGGCAAGUGAGCGAAAGUUGCCUACCUCUCUCUGGUUUCUCCAACCAGGCCUGUGAAAUAAUGGAUGAGAAUACGAUGGCAGUCUGUGUCCAACAGACACCUGCUGAAGAGGAGGACAGGGUGCAGAAAGAAGGAGAGGGGGACAGGGAGGGUGGUUGGGUGUGGACCCCCUAAUGGAUCAGGCAGGUACCCCUAAUGGACUAGCAGGUACCCCAGAGUUGUGAGAGGAGCAGGCCGAAUAGAUGUGUUGUGGAAUGAUGCCCUUUCUCUUUCCUUUUCAAAUGCUGUUUUUGAACACAGCAUGUAAAAACUAAAAUGUGUGGAGGCUCAAAUAAUGGGAAUGGUACAG
Molecule: long non-coding RNA, 2608 nt
Organism: Oncorhynchus tshawytscha (Chinook salmon)
Lineage: Eukaryota; Metazoa; Chordata; Actinopteri; Salmoniformes; Salmonidae
Source: Ensembl